Long non-coding RNA from Belonocnema kinseyi, 2144 nucleotides. RefSeq lists it as uncharacterized. Lineage: Eukaryota; Metazoa; Arthropoda; Insecta; Hymenoptera; Cynipidae. The transcript is spliced from 3 exons. The record is from RefSeq and is a predicted model, not a curated record.
UUACAAGCAUGGGACUAUGAUGGCGGGAUAGUGUUACUUGCUCCGCAGUCCGCUUGUAACAUGUUACUAUACUUUGAGUGGGAAAUAUAUUGUCACUGGGUGACCAUCAGCGAAGUGACUAUAGUGACUGUUUUUCUAAAUCUUGUUACAACCAUACGUGCUAGCUGGGAUGUCAGUGAUUCUCAAACAUCGUUUUCUGUGCCGAUGUUUUAUUUUGGUUAUGUGCAACUCGAAAAUAGAAGUUGCAAAAUAUUGUUAAAAAAAGGUCAAAGGAGGGUUUCGUGAAAGCCAAUAGCGGAACUCUACCUAAAAUAGAUAUAUUUAUGGUAUUGGUGUAUUUUAAGAAUAAUUGUGACCUCGUAAGUGCAGGAAUACGAGGAGUGAAAGUGAAACGACGUUGAUCAUCGACGUAGCUGUAACUUUAUGUAGUUCGGCAUUGCCUUUUCUUUGUCUAAAGACAUUUGCACGACUAAGAUAUACAAAGAAAAGAUUAUACGGCAAAAGCAUUGGAGGAUUGCAUUUUCUAGAAAUUGCACAACUCUCUGACGCAACUUGAAGGGAUGAAGUAGAGGGUCGAUGACGUAUUACGGUAUCACGUUUCGUGAUGCUAUUUAUUCACGAUUAUGAGAUUCACCGACUUUUCAAUCGUAUAGGAUGAAAACUUACAAGCUCCAAGGUCGUUAUGAGGAUACCGACUUCAAUUACUAAAACAGAUUUCAGAAAACUGAAUUUGUGCGUUCCGAGGAUUGAUGCCGUCCAGCGGUACCUUGAUGAGAGGAGCUGCGGGUCCAAGAGGGCAAGCGCUGCUCAGUCAAGCAUGACAAACAACAGGAGGACCGCACUCAGCGCUAGUUUCAUCAGGUUGCGUCAUACAUCCAGACUAUUUAGUACAAAGUUCGUCUUCAUUUGUUGAAAACUCAACUAUUGAGUUAUUCGUCUCUUUUUGGUUUAAAAUACAACUACUUUGUUGAAAUAUCCAAUGUAUUUCUAUGUAAAAUCUUAAGCGUUUUAUAUCGAAUUCGAUAAUUUGUACCUAAAAGGGCUGGCGGAGGGUGUUCGUAUUUGUAACGUCACCCUAAUGGGUUUAUGCGUAAUUUGAUUAUAUGUGACGAAGAAUAGAAGGAUCGAAAAAAUGUUCAAAAUAUCCUAACGUAGUUUUUGAACGGCCCCUUAUUUAACUUAAUGAAGAAUAAAUCAGAUGUAAAAAUUAUUAACAGGGUUCACAGUUCAGCCCGUUUAUGUAACCGUUCGGUUACAUAAGCAUCAUCCCAAUGGUAGAUUGAGAGGAACCUACAUUUUCCGUCUGCGUAUGAAAGGCGUGUAAAUACAACUUUAAACGCUAAAAACGGUUAGGUAAUUGUGUGUGUGUGUGUGUGUGUGUGCAUUUCUGUAAAAAUUACAAAUCACAAUCUAAAAGCUAUAAGUAUGACAAUAAAAUUAUUGUUGGCAUCACUAAAAAUAAUGUUACCCUACCUUUGUUCAGAAUUACUAACUAUAAGUUAUAUAGAACCACCCUUACAUUUGGUUUAACUACCCCUUUAGAACAAUAUUUUGCUUCUUUCACAGUUCUUAACAUAAUUUUUUGUAAGAAAAGUCCUAGUAUGUCAAUCUUGAUAACAAAAGUGUUAGUGCCAUCUUUUUCCGAAAAGUGUUUUGUUCACGGAGAAACUUUUAAUUCACAGUAAAUCCUCGAGAUAUUAUUCAUCUGAAGUUAGAUAAAAACACUGCAAACAAUUUAAAACUUCAAUUACCAGACCGCAGAUUAUUUUUAUCACGAGGCGUAUAUUAGGACCUUUAUGGAAUUAAUUGAUAUAUGGCUUGGUUUUACAAGUUAGCCAAUUGCCUAAUAAAAAAAGGUUUUUGUUCCUAAUUUUGUUAUUGACGUGAAAAAUCCUUUUUUCAUUUUCUGGUUUUCGCACUAUAAUCUUUUUUUUGGCUGACAUUGAAGAAUGUUUUAAACAUAUUAGAUGUUUGAACUGAUAAAAAUACAUUAAACACAAAUUUAAAGUCAGUGAAAGCGAAAACAAAAAAGUAGGGGUUUAAAACAGUUAUUUUUGCGUUUUUCAAAUUAUUACUUUCUAGCUUAUCUUCAUAAAUACUUUAAACGAAUAACGGCUCUAUAUUGAAAAUAAUGUACUAUAGAA